This 4058-nucleotide long non-coding RNA is filed under the name Marmota monax (woodchuck). The stretch from base 1827 to 1895 matches the Rfam family "tRNA". Lineage: Eukaryota; Metazoa; Chordata; Mammalia; Rodentia; Sciuridae. The record is from RNAcentral.
CAGUUAUUGUGCCUGAGGAACAUCUCCAGGUAAUUCACCCUGCUUUUAGCAAUGUUUUUUACUCUGUAGUCUAACCAUGGGAGCAUAUUUGAAUCUUUUCAGUGGGAAAUUUUUAUAGAUUCAAAUAUAGAGCUUUAGUAAGUUUAUUUUUCUACCAAAAGUAUAAUAGUUAGAUAUGCUGAUUCUGUUUUUUCAUUGCUUUUCAAGUGCAUUUAAUGACAUUUACUUUCAUUUGUUUUCUUCCCCAUUUGUCUCUGAAGUGCUGAAUCAGUUUAGCUUAGAACUUUAUCCUUAUUUUCCAGAACACCUUUGAGCACUUAUAUACUUACCUCAGUUUUUUUUUAUUGUACUGAACAUUGAACCCAAGGGUGCUCAACCACUAGCCAGUUGCUUAUUGCCUUGCUAAGUUGCUGAGGCUGGCUUUGAAUUCACAAUCCUCCUGCCUCAGCCUCCUCAGUCACUGGGAUUACAGGUGUGCGCCCCCGCGUCUGGCUUACCUUGGUUUUUUUAAAAGGGCAAUUUGAUAUCCCUUAAGAUAUGCUUCAACCCAACUUACGCAUUUAUUCCAAAAGUACUAAUAACUAUGUGGGCACAAUGGCACAUACCUGUAGUCCCAGCUGAGGCAGGAGGAUUGCUUGAGAUUAUGAAUUUGAGACCAGCUGGAGCAACACAGUGAGACACUGUCUCAAGGGGAAAAAAAAAAAAAAAGUAUUAACUAUCUUCUGUGUGUUCAAGGGUGUUCUUUGUAAAACUAUAAGUAUACAUAUGUAGGCUAUUAAAUUAUGUUAUAACCAUUUAAUGGGAUACUAUGCAGUUGUUUUAGAACAAAGUAGAUCUCAAUGUACUAACUUGAAAAGAUAUUUAAGCUCUUAAAUGAAAAAAAAUUAUCAAUGUGUUUUAUUGAAAAGUACAGAUAUACAUAAGUUAAAAAUUAUGAAAUAGUCUAGAGGAAUGUGUAUGUUAAAAAAUCUGUACAAAAAUCAAAAUGUUAGUGGUUUCCUUUAAGAACUAAUGGUAACUACACAGCUUUAGUAACAAAAACUACAUGGUACAGCAUAAAAACAGACAUGAAGACCAGUAGAAGAGACAACCCACAGGCAACCCACACAGAAGCAGCCACAGUCAUCUCAUCUUUGACAAAGAUGCCAAAAACAUAAGGUAGAGAAAAGAUAGCCUUUUUAAACAAAUUGUGCCAGGAGAACUGAGUAGCCAUUUAUAGAAUGAAAUUAGACCCCUAUCUCUUACCCUGCUCAAAAUGGAUGAAAGACCUAGGAAUUAGACCAGAUAACUUAGAAAAACAGGGUCAACACUCCAACAAAUAGGCACAAGCACUGAUUUUCUUAAUAAGAUUUCUGAAUCACAAGAAUUAAAACAAAAAGGCCGGGUGCAGAGGCACAUGCCUAUGUAGUCCCAGCGGCUUGGUAGGCUGAGACAGGAGAAUUGCAAGUUCAAAGGCAGCCUCAGCAACAGGCAAGGCACUCAGCAACUCAGUGAGACCUUGUCUCUAAAUAAAAAAAUACAAAAUAGACCUGGACAUGUGGCUCAGUAGUCAAGUGCCCCUGAGUUCAAUCCCUGGUAUAAAAAAAUACAAAAAGAAUUAAAAUAAAGAAUAAGUGGAAUGGCAUCAAAUUUAAAAAUUUCUGCACAUCAAAGGAAACAAUUAAGAGCCUACAGAAUGGGAGUUUGCUAGUUACUCUCUGAACAGAGGAUAUCCCAGAGUAUAUGAAGAAUUCAAAAAACUUAAAAUACCAAGAGCACAAAUAACUUAGUCAAUAAGUGGGCAAAAGAACAAAACAGACAUUCUCAAAAGAAGUAAGCCAGGGACUGGGGUUGUGGCUCAGUGGUAGAGCGCUUGCCUGGCAUGUGUGAGGCCCUGGGUUCAAUCCUUAGCACCACAUAUAAAUAAAGAAAUAAAGUAAAAAAUGGCAACUAAAAAAAAUAUAUUAAAAAAAAAGAAGUAAGCCAAAUGGCCAAAAUAUAUGAAAAAUGUUCGACAUUUUUAGCAUUCAGGGAAAUAAAAAUCAAAACUACACUGAAAUUUCAUCCCAUCCCAAUUAGAAUGGCAACCCUCAAGAAUGUAAAUAACGAAAAACACUGGAGAGGAUGUGGGAAGAAAGGAACACAUAAAUUGUUGGUGAGACGGUAAAUUAGUAUGACCAUUGUGGAAAUCAGUAGAGCAAUUUCUCAGGAGACUAGGUAAGGAACCAAUAUAUGACCCAGCUAUUCAAGACUUAUCCAAAAGAACUGGAAUCAGUAUACCAUAACAAUACAUAAUGUGUAUAGCAGUGUAAUUCACAAGAGCCUAGUUAGGGAACUAGCAUAGAUGUCAUCAACACAUGAACAGUUAAAGAAAAUGUAUCUAUUCACAAUGGAGUUCUAUUCAGCCUUAAAAAAGAAUAAAAUUGUGUCUUUUGGUGAUAAAUCAAUAGAUCUGGGGAAUAUCACACUAAAUAAAUUUGUAUAAGCCAGACUCAGAAAGCCAAGAGUCAAAUGUUUUAUAAGCUGAAGCUACAGAGAAAUAAAGGGAAUCUCGUGAAAAUAGAAGGGAUAUCAGUAGUGUAGAGCUAUAGGGGAUCUGAGGGGAAGGGAAAAGAGGAAGAACUGGCAAAUUAGGCUAUAUGCAUGUAUGAAUAUGUCACAGUAAAUCCCAUUUUAUGUAUAAUUGUAAUACACCAAUGAAAAAAGUAUGUGUAUUUGUUUAUAUUGUAAAUAAAUAGAAGGUAGACCAUAUAUUUUAGAUUAGAUUCCUUUGGAAUUUUUUCUUAAGGUAUUUGAAGCUAAGUGAAGGCACCUGUACAAUUGUACAGGUUGGCAUCUACAAUUUGCUUACUCAGUUUUACUUAACUGUUUCAAAUUUCUUGAGUGCACAAGGAGCUUUAGGGACAUGUUUAAAAUUUUAAACAGAUUGUCUAUUGUAUCCCUAUCUCUUUUGCCAAGGCAUUUCCUAGAUAUUUUAAGACUGAUUUCAUUAUCUUUUUUUUCUAAGAGUUUGUUCAUUGCUUUUAAUUUUCUUGGUUCUUCCAAGUUCUAUUUCCUACUUCUUGAAAGUUCUGAUUUUGUUUAAUUAAGUAGAUAUUCAUGAGAAAGAAGCUUAAAAAUGUAAACUUUUUGUAAUACCAGCUACUAAUAGGUUAAAAUAAUUGAAUUUUAAAAUUAUAAAGAUAUGUUAUUGAAGCAAGGGUAAAUAACAUAUACUUUCUAUUAAGUGAAAUGGGAGUGCCUGGGUCUUUUGUUUUUUUGUUUUUUCUUCUUUCUGUAAGCAUAGCUUAACCUAAAAAAAUUACUGAUUUUUUUCUAAUUGUAAUUUGAAGAGUCAAAGUAAGAUUUGCCUAGAAAAUACUAGAAACAAGUCUCUUACUACUGAGAGGGGUGAAAAAAGAAAACUAGAAACAAGGGUAAUAAUCAUGGAUGACUUUAAUAUUUUCUUUAUAUGGUUUUAUAUUAUCAAAUUUUUUAAAUAAGAUACAUGGAUUUCUUUACAAUAGGAAAUAUAUUUCCAUUAACUAAAAAGUUUUUUAUUAAUUAAUUUUGAAAUAACUAUAGCCUCAAAGAAAGUUGUAAAAAUUGUGUAUAGGACAUUGUUCAGUGGUAGAGCAUUUAGCAUGAUGAGACUGUGGGUUCAAUCCCUCCCCCUCCAAAAAAAGUAUAUGGAAGUUUCAUCACUAAGUUUUAGGGUUUUGAAACCUUUUUAAUUUCUAUCUUUUCUGCAUAUUAGUUUUUUGGCCUUUAUAAAAUAAAUCAUACCAUAUUUAGAUAUAUACUGGAUUCACUCUUAAGUUUAUCUCUUUAGCUAACCAUGUCUCUGGUCUGAUUUUUCUGUUCACCCCUACUGGUGCAGCAAUGUAGGGUUUGCCGAGGGGGUAAGUGGCCCUGUGGAGCAGUGGGUAUGCUGGAUCAAGAGGGUGUCCGAGAUGCAGACUUUGUCCUUUAUGUUGGUGCUCUGGCCACUGAGAGAUGCCGCCAUGAAAACAUUAUCUCUUAUGCAGCCUAUUGUCAGCAGGAAGCAAAAAUGGACAGGUAAAGGUUUCUUUGAGAUUUAUUUUAUAAGAUCUAAUCAG